Molecule: long non-coding RNA, 1979 nt
Organism: Miniopterus natalensis
Lineage: Eukaryota; Metazoa; Chordata; Mammalia; Chiroptera; Miniopteridae
Source: RefSeq, a predicted model, not a curated record
CAGAAGAGGAGGACAUCAACUCUCCACAGAUGCUGACAUGUAAUGUGUGCAAAAAAGAAACACUGAGUGUUGUAAACCGCUGAGAUUUUGACCUACUGUUACGGUGCGAAGCAGACAACACAAAAUCAAGACACUGAUUGGAGAAAAAGACGUGAAUGGAACAGUCCUAAGGACAUUUUCCUCCUCCACAUCUGAUUGUUUCCUCAAACCCAAUGUGGAAAGUUGGAAGUUAAUGCAACUGAAUGUGAUAAUCACCAAUCAAUAAUUGAUUUCGGGAACCCAUUUUCCAGGAUAGACUGGACAGCUAAGUCACAUUUCGUACAGACUGCUAAAGGUACCAGGCACAUUUCUGUUGGUUAUGUCACAUGUUGCCUAUAUGGACAUUAGUGGAACUGUUUUAUGAUUUGUAAUACCUCUGAUAAACUUCAGAACCACUAAUUAUGUUAAGAGGUUAAGAGCACCAAAGCAUAUACAUUUACACUCUAAUGGAUUCUUAUAUUAGGUAAUUGAGAAUAAUACUCUUAUUAUCACUAAUAUGCAUUAGAGACAAAGAAGCUUCCAGAUAUGCCAACAAUUUUCAGUCCCAUUUACCAUUUUAAAGACAGAAGCACUGCUAUAUAGAAUUCAUUAAUAAAGCUUCUGGAAGAUACUUGUUCCUGAAAACAACACUGCACUCUAAAGGUAAGUGGCAUUAAUGUUACUCAGAAAACCUGAAGCUUCAAUAUACUCUUGAGAACAAUUAGGAUUCUGUCACAUAAAUGCUAGACUGUAUUUACUUAAACUGAUUUUCUAUAUCACGGAAAGUGAAAAGGUAAUUAUCAAAAUGGAUGUAAAUGAAACAUGCAUUUUAGAAAAUAGUUGAACCAAUUACUCUCAAAAGAUAUAUAAGGGCUGGAAAGUCUUUCACCCAAUUUACUCAUCCACUCAAACCUUAUUUCCAAAAGUAAGCAGAGAUUAUCCCAUAAAUAUUUAUUUAUUAGAUUUAUAAAGUGUGGCCUGCUCAAGCUGCAGAAAACUGUUUGAGACAGAAGUUAUUUAACAACUAAUGGAAGACCAUUCUUAAAAGAUAUUUCUGCUACAGAAGUAGGCUUUUAACAAAAUCUGUCAUGCUAUCUAAUGAAAUACUAUUAUAACAGCAGAGAUAAUUUUUUCAUAGCAUACUCCUUCUAUCUGUCACAGUUCAGGACUGGGAACAAUUAACAGGAUCACCAGACUCUGGAGAAAGGCAACAAUAUGCACACCCCUAUUCCUAUUAAAAUAAGUAAAUUGCAAACCUAAUUAUCUUGGGGCCACAGGAGUAUGGUUACUUUAUGUAACCAUUUGGAUUCCUCGCUUAUAGCCCGUAUUUGAUGCCUUAUAAUAAAACACUUUGCUUCUUGUAGAAAUAAGAGAAAACAAGGGAAGGUAUUAUCUUUUCUUUUCCUCUGCUUUCUCUUCCUUCUCUUUUCCCUUUUUUUGAUUUUAUUACCCUUACCAUGAUCAUUAUUAUCACUGUGAGGUAUAAAGCAAAAUGUUAAUAAACAGAUGGUUGAAUAUUAACAAGAUGAUAAAAGGAAACGUGAAAAUGAUAAAUUAAUGCCACUGUGCAUUCUGUUUUCAAUAAUUUGAGUCUCUUCAAGGUAGGAGUUAUAUCCAUUUCUGUUUAUGACAUCCUUUGGGAAGUAAGAAAACUGAAGGUAAGAGAGAUUAUAUAAUUGGCCUACAGUUAGCGAUUGGUCAAUGUAGCAUUUAUGUGUGGAUCUCUGCUAUCUAAGAGACAUGGAUUCAAAUCUCAGCUGCACUAAUUUCUUUCUUGGUGAUAAUUAGUGGGUUGAUUCAUCUCUGCUGUCUAGAAAGUUUUGCAAACCAUUGUUCAUGUGAUAUAGAGUCAAAUUCUAAACUUUCCACUGACCCAGAGGUUUCCCCUUGAUAAAAUGAUAUGUAUUGGAAACUCUUAGAAAGGAAAAGAGGCGUGUGUGUGUUUGUAUGUGUGUGGGGGG